AUUGAACGCUGGCGGCAUGCUUUACACAUGCAAGUCGAACGGUAACAGGUCUUCGGAUGCUGACGAGUGGCGAACGGGUGAGUAAUACAUCGGAACGUGCCUAGUAGUGGGGGAUAACUACUCGAAAGAGUAGCUAAUACCGCAUGAGAUCUACGGAUGAAAGCAGGGGACCUUCGGGCCUUGUGCUACUAGAGCGGCUGAUGGCAGAUUAGGUAGUUGGUGGGGUAAAGGCUUACCAAGCCUGCGAUCUGUAGCUGGUCUGAGAGGACGACCAGCCACACUGGGACGGAGACACGGCCCAGACACCUACGGGAGGCAGCAGUGGGGAAUUUUGGACAAGGGGCGAAAGCCUGAUCCAGCAAUGCCGCGUGCAGGAUGAAGGCCCUCGGGUUGUAAACUGCUUUUGUACGGAACGAAAAGCCUGGGGCUAAUAUCCCCGGGUCAUGACGGUACCGUAAGAAUAAGCACCGGCUAACUACGUGCCAGCCGCCGCCGUAA
RNAcentral lists this ribosomal RNA (498 nucleotides) under uncultured bacterium. RNAcentral describes it as "partial 16S ribosomal RNA". It matches the Rfam family "Bacterial small subunit ribosomal RNA", at positions 30 to 523 of the family's 1533-position model. The record is from RNAcentral.